GACGAACGCUGGCGGCGUGCUUAACACAUGCAAGUCGAACGGAAGGGCCCUGCUUGCAGGGUACUCGAGUGGCGAACGGGUGAGUAACACGUGGGUGAUCUGCCCUGCACUUCGGGAUAAGCCUGGGAAACUGGGUCUAAUACCGGAUAUGACCUUCCAUGUAGUGUGGGGGGUGGAAAGAUUUAUCGGUGUGGGAUGAGCCCGCGGCCUAUCAGCUUGUUGGUGGGGUAAUGGCCUACCAAGGCGUCGACGGGUAGCCGGCCUGAGAGGGUGGACGGCCACAUUGGGACUGAGAUACGGCCCAGACUCCUACGGGAGGCAGCAGUGGGGAAUAUUGCACAAUGGGCGGAAGCCUUAUGCAGCGACGCCGCGUGGGGGAUGACGGCCUUCGGGUUGUAAACCUCUUUCGACAGGGACGAAGCUUCGGUGACGGUACCUUUAUAAGAAGCACCGGCUAACUACGUG
Molecule: ribosomal RNA, 465 nt
Filed under: uncultured bacterium
Lineage: Bacteria
Description: partial 16S ribosomal RNA
Rfam family: Bacterial small subunit ribosomal RNA
Source: RNAcentral